UGCGUAGGCGGUUCGUCAAGUCUGAUGUGAAAGCCCCGGGCUCAACCUGGGAACUGCAUUGGAAACUAGCGAGCUUGAGUGUGGCAGAGGGGGGUGGAAUUCCACGUGUAGCAGUGAAAUGCGUAGAGAUGUGGAGGAACACCGAUGGCGAAGGCAGCCCCCUGGGCUAACACUGACGCUCAGGCACGAAAGCGUGGGAGCAAACA
This 206-nucleotide ribosomal RNA is filed under the name uncultured bacterium. RNAcentral describes it as "partial 16S ribosomal RNA". It matches the Rfam family "Bacterial small subunit ribosomal RNA", at positions 568 to 774 of the family's 1533-position model. The record is from RNAcentral.